CCAUCUUCUUCGAUUGUUCUGAAUAGUUUGAGAAGAAUUAGAGUUAGUUCUUCUUUAAAUGUCUGGUAGAAUUCAGCAGUGAAUCCAUGGCCCCUGCGCAAGGAUGACACGCAAAUUCGUGAAGCGUUCCAUAUUUUU
Small nuclear RNA from Oryctolagus cuniculus (rabbit), 138 nucleotides. The record is from Ensembl. Lineage: Eukaryota; Metazoa; Chordata; Mammalia; Lagomorpha; Leporidae.